Chlorocebus sabaeus (green monkey) is the source of this 553-nucleotide long non-coding RNA. RefSeq lists it as uncharacterized. The record is from RefSeq and is a predicted model, not a curated record. NCBI's taxonomy places the organism in Eukaryota, Metazoa, Chordata, Mammalia, Primates, Cercopithecidae.
GCUGCCCAGGCCCGGAGGGGCGCCCCCCAAAGGGGCCCCAUGGGGCCAGGGAUCCGCGCCGCCGCCGGGAUGCUGCUGCUUCUUCUUCAUCGCCUGCUCCGCCGCCUCGCACAGCCUGCUCGUGCCAGGAAAAGCGACCUCUUCGGGGCCCCGCUGACUUCCCUCUCGUAAACAGUCACCGGCAGGAAGAAGCACGACUGACUUUACAUUUUUUGAAGUUCAGAAACUUGAUUCUCCUUAUAUAUCCCGUGCAAGCUGCUUACACAAGGCCGGCAAAAGUGCUUGUCUGGUGAAACCCAGGUUCAGUUAAACCCAAUCAUGCAACUGGACCGGAUUGCAGAAAAACACACAGCGCUGGCUGGAAUGUGGACAUGGAAGGGGCUCAGCUUCCAUCAUGCACAUGAGGACAGUACUCCGAGGAAUAUCAGAGAAACUGGUGAAAGGAACCUAGGAACCUGAAUGCUCUUAAGAAGCGAGCCAUCUGUCUGCUGUGGACUGCCUACUGCCAUUUGGACUCCCUUGUGAAAAAAAUAAAGUAAAUUCUCUCUACAAU